GAUGAACGCUGGCGGCGUGCUUAACACAUGCAAGCCGAACGGGAUCCAUCAAGCUUGCUUGGUGGUGAGAGUGGCGAACGGGUGAGUAAUGCGUGACCGACCUGCCCCAUACACCGGAAUAGCUCCUGGAAACGGGUGGUAAUGCCGGAUGCUCCAGUUGAUCGCAUGGUCUUCUGGGAAAGCUUUCGCGGUAUGGGAUGGGGUCGCGUCCUAUCAGCUUGACGGCGGGGUAACGGCCCACCGUGGCUUCGACGGGUAGCCGGCCUGAGAGGGCGACCGGCCACAUUGGGACUGAGAUACGGCCCAGACUCCUACGGGAGGCAGCAGUGGGGAAUAUUGCACAAUGGGCGCAAGCCUGAUGCAGCGACGCCGCGUGAGGGAUGGAGGCCUUCGGGUUGUAAACCUCUUUUAUCGGGGAGCAAGCG
This 425-nucleotide ribosomal RNA is filed under the name uncultured bacterium. RNAcentral's name for it is "bacterial SSU rRNA". It matches the Rfam family "Bacterial small subunit ribosomal RNA", at positions 28 to 452 of the family's 1533-position model. The record is from RNAcentral.